Long non-coding RNA from Beta vulgaris subsp. vulgaris (sugar beet), 296 nucleotides. RefSeq lists it as uncharacterized. The record is from RefSeq and is a predicted model, not a curated record. NCBI's taxonomy places the organism in Eukaryota, Viridiplantae, Streptophyta, Magnoliopsida, Caryophyllales, Amaranthaceae. The transcript has 2 exons.
AGAGUCCAGGCGUUUGACCUCGUCAUCAGUCUAAACGUAAUUCACAGAUCAUUCAUCCUAUAGAAUUGCGCAUAUCCUUGAAGUUGAACUGAUUGGAGAAAGAGGGUACAUAUUAUCAAGCACAAGACGCAUUCUUAGUUACAAUUAAAGUACUAUGUAGUUUAUAAUUUUUCUAUGUAAAAAGAUUGGAGAAUAUUGUGUUUUUAUUUAGUUGUCAAUGGAACUUUUUAUUUCAAGUACAUUUUAAUGUAAAAAUAUUUGAAAUUAUAUAUUAAUAAUAAUAUUUCGUUAUUCCA